Molecule: ribosomal RNA, 203 nt
Filed under: uncultured bacterium
Lineage: Bacteria
Description: partial 16S ribosomal RNA
Rfam family: Bacterial small subunit ribosomal RNA
Source: RNAcentral
UACGAAGGGGCUAGCGUUGCUCGGAAUCACUGGGCGUAAAGCGCACGUAGGCGGACUCUUAAGUCGGUGGUGAAAUCCUGGAGCUCAACUCCAGAACUGUCUUCGAUACUGAGAGUCUUGAGUCCGGGAGAGGUGAAGUGGAACUGCGAGUGUAGAGGUGAAAUUCGUAGAUAUUCGCAAGAACACCAGUGGCGAAAGGCGGC